CACACACAUUAAUCCUGAAACACACACACACACUCAUAAUCACACACACAUUAAUCCUGAAACACACACACACACUCAUAAUCACACACACAUUUACCCUGAAACACACACACACACACACACACACACACUCACAUUAACCCUGAAACACACACACACACACACACACUCUUGCUCACCUUCUUGUCCUUCUCGGAGCCGUCGGUCAGCAGCACUCCUUUGGCCUGCAUGUGUCGGUACAGGACCCUCUGCAGCGCAGACAUGUCACACUUGAUCACGUACUCCACCUGCACACAGACACAAAACAGCACAAUGCUUCAUCUGUCCGAGGCGACGACAGACAGACUGCAUCAGAAUCACCUUCUCAGGCAGCUGCGCCUCCACUUCCUUCUUCAGCCGGCGCAACAGGAAGGGGCGGAGCACCUUGUGCAGGCGGCGGAUGAUCAGGAUGGUCUCCUCCUCGUUCAGAUCCACCUGAGAGACACAUCAGUCACGUCUACUACUGCUCUUCAUUUCCCAGCAUGUCUUGACGAGCAGAAUCACACAUUAAAGGCUCAGGAUGGAAUCAGACUAGUUAGUUUAUUUCAUCACAAUGAUGUGAACAUAGAGAGACAGAUAUACAUCAUCCCACCAUCACUGCAGUCACAUCCAUCCAUCCAUCCAUCAGGCCAUCCAUCCAUCCAUCCAUCCAUCAGGCCAUUCAUUUACAAACAUGUGUACUGUCGGGGGUGGUGAUGCUGGAGCUGCAGGCAGGGAAACUGCAGGUUAAAACUAUCCAUCUUGUGUUGUUUUCAGCCCAGCUGAUGGGUAAAUAUAGGGCUGAACUAACCUAACCCAUGGAGUUAUGCUGCUCAUCACAGAGUCAGACGGAUGAUGACUGCUCAAACUUGAAUAAGACAAGAAAACUGUACUCGUUUUACUCAAUGUUGUUCAUUUUUUCUUUCAGGAUUUUCUUUGUAUGCAGCUAAACUGAAAACCUGUUGCUGAUAAAAAUGUACAAUUACAAUUAAACUGAACCAGAGAAAGAGAGACAGAGUGUGUUUGUCAUCAACACAUGCUGUGAACGGCCUGAGAGACACAAAGAGCUUUAUACGCUGUGAAGAACAAUAUUCACACUGGCAUCAAUCAGAAUCUGGCUGUCGAUGUAGAGAUCCUUCAUGAGAGGACUGGAUCCGCUGAACGGCACAAACACUGCACUGAAGAACUGAAACACAUGCAGAAAAUGACAAACACGCCGUAACAAAACAAGCAUAUGAUACUGAAGCACAUUAUCAAUAUCAUUAUCAAUUUACUGCAAUGGACAUAAUAAAGAGACACUCUUGAAUUUCUUCUCCCAAAAAACUCACAAUCUUGUGAAGCUGAAGAAUUUAGUGUUUUGAAGGUCAUUGUGUCAUGAAGUGUUUUUGUGUGAUGAUAGUUUGUCAUGUUAUGGUAGAAUAAGAUGAUUUUGAGACACGUACGAAUGGUUGCAGUGUGAUUUAGGACAGG
This 1488-nucleotide long non-coding RNA is filed under the name Sinocyclocheilus rhinocerous. RNAcentral's name for it is "lncRNA (ENSSRHG00000043730.1)". Lineage: Eukaryota; Metazoa; Chordata; Actinopteri; Cypriniformes; Cyprinidae. The record is from RNAcentral.